This 494-nucleotide ribosomal RNA is filed under the name uncultured soil bacterium. Its description in RNAcentral is "bacterial SSU rRNA". It matches the Rfam family "Bacterial small subunit ribosomal RNA", at positions 26 to 520 of the family's 1533-position model. The record is from RNAcentral.
AGACUGAACGCUGGCGGCAUGCCUAACACAUGCAAGUCGAACGGCAGCACAGCCCCGCAAGGGGUGGGUGGCGAGUGGCGGACGGGUGAGGAAUACAUCGGAAUCUGCCCUGUUGUGGGGGAUAACCCAUCGAAAGGUGGGCUAAUACCGCAUGAGACGGUGACGUGAAAGCGGGGGACCUGUGAGGGCCUCGCGCGACGGGAUGAGCCGAUGUCGGAUUAGCUAGUUGGUAGGGUAAAGGCCUACCAAGGCGACGAUCCGUAGCUGGUCUGAGAGGAUGAUCAGCCACACUGGGACUGAGACACGGCCCAGACUCCUACGGGAGCAGCAGUGGGAAUAUUGGACAAUGGGCGCAAGCCUGAUCCAGCAAUGCCGCGUGUGUGAAGAAGGCCUUCGGUUGUAAGCACUUUUAUCGGAGCGAAAAGCGACGGUAGAAGAUCCCGGCGUCAUCGACGGUACCGAAGGAACUAAGACGACCGGACUAACGUUCGUAG